CCUACGGGCGGCUGCAGUGGGGAAUAUUGGACAAUGGGCGAAAGCCUGAUCCAGCCAUGCCGCGUGUGUGAAGAAGGCCUUCGGGUUGUAAAGCACUUUCAGUGGGGAAGAAAGCCUUGGGGCUAAUACCCUCGAGGAAGGACAUCACCCACAGAAGAAGCACCGGCUAACUCCGUGCCAGCAGCCGCGGUAAUACGGAGGGUGCGAGCGUUAAUCGGAAUUACUGGGCGUAAAGCGCGCGUAGGCGGUCUGAUAAGCCGGUUGUGAAAGCCCCGGGCUCAACCUGGGAACGGCAUCCGGAACUGUCAGGCUAGAGUGCAGGAGAGGAAGGUAGAAUUCCCGGUGUAGCGGUGAAAUGCGUAGAGAUCGGGAGGAAUACCAGUGGCGAAGGCGGCCUUCUGGACUGGCACUGACGCUGAGGUGCGAAAGCGUGGGUAGCAAACAGGAUUAGAUACCCUUGUAGUC
This 465-nucleotide ribosomal RNA is filed under the name Vreelandella stevensii. RNAcentral's name for it is "partial 16S ribosomal RNA". It matches the Rfam family "Bacterial small subunit ribosomal RNA", at positions 338 to 795 of the family's 1533-position model. Lineage: Bacteria; Pseudomonadati; Pseudomonadota; Gammaproteobacteria; Oceanospirillales; Halomonadaceae. The record is from RNAcentral.